Molecule: non-coding RNA, 21 nt
Filed under: Caenorhabditis elegans
Lineage: Eukaryota; Metazoa; Nematoda; Chromadorea; Rhabditida; Rhabditidae
Source: RNAcentral
UAUACAUACUUUGGUUAAAUA